RNAcentral lists this ribosomal RNA (468 nucleotides) under uncultured bacterium. RNAcentral describes it as "partial 16S ribosomal RNA". It matches the Rfam family "Bacterial small subunit ribosomal RNA", at positions 28 to 507 of the family's 1533-position model. The record is from RNAcentral.
GACGAACGCUGGCGGCGUGCUUAACACAUGCAAGUCGAACGGAAAGGCCCUGCUUUUGUGGGGUGCUCGAGUGGCGAACGGGUGAGUAACACGUGAGUAACCUGCCCUUGACUUUGGGAUAACUUCAGGAAACUGGGGCUAAUACCGGAUAGGAGCUCCUGCUGCAUGGUGGGGGUUGGAAAGUUUCGGCGGUUGGGGAUGGACUCGCGGCUUAUCAGCUUGUUGGUGGGGUAGUGGCUUACCGAGGCUUUGACGGGUAGCCGGCCUGAGAGGGUGACCGGCCACAUUGGGACUGAGAUACGGCCCAGACUCCUACGGGAGGCAGCAGUGGGGAAUAUUGUACAAUGGGCGGAAGCCUGAUGCAGCAACGCCGCGUGCGGGAUGACGGCCUUCGGGUUGUAAACCGCUUUCGCCUGUGACGAAGCGUGAGUGACGGUAAUGGGUAAAGAAGCACCGGCUAACUACGUG